AAAACGCGAUAAUUAAUGUGAAUUGCAGACACCGUGAAUCAUCGAACCUUUGAACGCACUAGUGCCCUCAAAUUUAUUUGAAGGCAGGUCUAUUUGAGUGUCGAUUUUUUCUCUUUUCAUACCUAAUGAAGCUUGACGUGUCAUGAGGGCCAUAUAUUUUGCCUUCACGUCCGUUUAAAUAUUUUGGGCGAAUAACUUAUUUGUUUGAGACCCCUUUCGCGUUAAGAGCUAUGCUUGUCGGCCAAAAAAAAUUAACGCUUAAGGGAGAGACACUUAAGGCUUAUUCGUUGCCGUAACAUUGCUAAACCAAGCUAGUCCCUUGUUUUGAAUUUAUUCAAUUCAUUGGGACUUAGCCUUUUUUUUUAUUCGACCUCAAUUUAGAUCAGAGUACCCGCUGAAUUUAAGC
This 406-nucleotide unclassified non-coding RNA is filed under the name plant metagenome. RNAcentral describes it as "partial contains 5.8S ribosomal RNA, internal transcribed spacer 2, and large subunit ribosomal RNA". The stretch from base 1 to 103 matches the Rfam family "5.8S ribosomal RNA", at positions 50 to 154 of the family's 154-position model. The record is from RNAcentral.